CGACUCUCGGCAACGGAUAUCUCGGCUCUCGCAUCGAUGAAGAACGUAGCGAAAUGCGAUACUUGGUGUGAAUUGCAGAAUCCCGUGAACCAUCGAGUCUUUGAACGCAAGUUGCGCCCGAAGCCACUAGGCUGAGGGCACGUCUGCCUGGGUGUCACG
This 159-nucleotide ribosomal RNA is filed under the name Pseudalbizzia adinocephala. Its description in RNAcentral is "Albizia adinocephala 5.8S ribosomal RNA". It matches the Rfam family "5.8S ribosomal RNA". From Rfam's summary of the family: 5.8S ribosomal RNA (5.8S rRNA) is a component of the large subunit of the eukaryotic ribosome. It is transcribed by RNA polymerase I as part of the 45S precursor that also contains 18S and 28S rRNA. The record is from RNAcentral. Lineage: Eukaryota; Viridiplantae; Streptophyta; Magnoliopsida; Fabales; Fabaceae.